RNAcentral lists this long non-coding RNA (210 nucleotides) under Elaeis guineensis (African oil palm). RNAcentral describes it as "long non-coding RNA (EGUI_LNC042912)". The record is from RNAcentral. Lineage: Eukaryota; Viridiplantae; Streptophyta; Magnoliopsida; Arecales; Arecaceae.
GUUGUCAGAAUUAUCAUUCAUAAUAUGUUGUUUUAGUUAUGUCUUUCUGAUGAUGGUCAGAUUGGUCGAGCCACACUUGGGUCUGGUCACUCAUUUGUUAGAUACACUAAAUUCUGGUAUGUUAAUGAUUGGACCUAAUCAGAACCUUCAGUGGAGAUGCCACAUGCCUGCUGAAGAGGUGUCUGGGGUAAAAUUGAAUACUAAAAAUUA